UACGUAGGGUGCAAGCGUUGUCCGGAAUUAUUGGGCGUAAAGAGCUCGUAGGCGGUCUGUCGCGUCAGCUGUGAAAACCUGGGGCUCAACCCCGGGCCUGCAGCCGAUACGGGCAGACUAGAAUUCGGUAGGGGAGACUGGAAUUCCUGGUGUAGCGGUGAAAUGCGCAGAUAUCAGGAGGAACACCGGUGGCGAAGGCGGGUCUCUGGGCCGUAACUGACGCUGAGGAGCGAAAGCGUGGGGAGCGAACAGG
Molecule: ribosomal RNA, 253 nt
Filed under: uncultured bacterium
Lineage: Bacteria
Description: partial 16S ribosomal RNA
Rfam family: Bacterial small subunit ribosomal RNA
Source: RNAcentral